CGCUGCUCCUCCCUUUCUGACACACACACACACACACACACACACGCAACGCAAAAAAAAAACGAAACAAGCAUAUUUUCGUUAUCUCUCUCAUAUCUCCCUAUCGGCUGUCACCGAUUCCCUCUCGAGGUCCGUCUGUGGCCUUUGCGUCCUCGCUUCACCUAUAUCGCACGCACGCACAGGUUGCGCAUGCUGACCCUCUUCCACGGCCCCUCCUCCCCUCCCCGCUCCAUUCCAAGUAGAUCAUACCACCAUCACUAGCAGCAACGGCAAGAACAAAGAAAAAAACGAACGAUAAUGCCCGCAUUCGGUAACAUGUUCCACAGAACGACGCCGGAGGAGGAGGUGCGCAAGUGGACGCGCAGUCUGCGCUCGGAGCAGCGCAAGAUUGAGCUUCAAAUCACCAAGAUCCGCCGCGAGGAGGCCAAGGUAAAGCUGUCGAUGAAGCAGGCAGCAAAGCAGAAUGACCAGGUGGUGAUGCGGAUGCUGGCGAAGGAGAUGAUUCGCUCUCGCAAGGCGGUGAACCGAAUGUACGCCUCGAAGGCGCAGAUGAACUCCGUGUCCAUGCAGUUGCAGAACCAGGUGAGUCAGAUGAAGAUGUCCGGCUCGCUCAAGAAAAGCAGCGAAAUUAUGAAAGAGAUGAACAGUCUCGUCAAGGUGAAGGAGAUUCAGCAAUCCAUGAUGGCGAUGAGCAAAGAAAUGGCCAGAGCAGGGCUGAUCGAGGAGAUUAUCAACGACACGAUCGAUGAGGCUCUGGACGACGACAUCAGCGACACAGAGCUCGAGGACGAGGUGAACAAGGUGGUGAUGGACGUGGUUCAGGGUCAGAUGGACGGCGCACGCGUCGGUGCCUCUCGUAUCCCGGCACAACAGCAGCAGCAGGAGGAGGCUGCGGAGGAAGAAGAGGAGGAUGAGCUCAUGGAGAAGUUCAAUGCGCUGCGCAACUCGUAAGCGGGUAAGAGGAACGGUGGCGAGUAAAGUGACAGUAGAAAUGUGGGUGUGGGGAAAAAAUGGGGAAGGAAGGGUGGAAAGAACGCGGAAGAGAUGUGCCUGCACUGCGCGCAAAAGAUCUUUCGAGCGCGAGUACAUCUGAAUAAUCAUCGCGCCGCUGGCUCGACUCUGUGCGGGCGCGCUUCAAUACAUGUUCCGCCUUGAUUAGCUUCUCUUUAGGUGGCGUGCUCAUCCGGCUCUCAAGCUCAGCGGUGAGGGAGAGGGGCUUGCAACGUUACGCCACGCCACGGCGCACUGACCUUGUGUUUCCGUCUGACAGACACUCGCAUCUCUUUGCUCGUUACUUUCUCUGUUACGUAGCCCUCUUGUUUUGCCCCGCACCGCGCCCUUAUCUGUUUUUUCCCUCAUCACUUCCAUUUUUUGUUUCCCUCUUCGCUGCACGUCCUCCUCCCUCCUCCCACCUCUUCCACACAAUCCUAUCGGCAUGGUACGCUCAAGUUUUUUUUCGUUUCCAUGGCUCUAGCGCGUCAGUCCAGCACGAGCAAGUCAGCAAGGAGUGCAUUUGAGGGCGAAGCAGAAACGUGCGCGCACCCUUCCCCCUCCCCCCACCUGCACCGGCACAGUCCACCUACUCUCACACGCGCGUCGCUGUGAGCUCUUUGAGCUCAACCCCUGCCUUUGUUGCUCUUUUCCUUGUUGUCCUUUUUUUUUCUCGAUCUUCUUGUCUCUGUGUUGCACGUCUUCAGCUUCCGUUCAUUCCCCCUCCCCACCGCCCUCGUCGCCUUUCCUAGCCUUCCCUGUUUUCAUUGCUCAUCUCAGCCGAUGGUUACAGCUGUCAGCCGCUGCGGGCACACUUCACUGCUGUUUCCUUCUCCCGCUCGCUCUCGACGUGCAUCUUUACGUGCCCAUCACCGAAUGCGAAGGGCAGAAAGAAAAGAGGAGGCGUUGCUGUGUUUUGUUGUUGGUGUGUGUGUGUGUGUGUGCUCUAUGCAUCGGCUCUCCCCUACCCACUCUCCCCGUGGUGGAGCUGAAGCGCUGAAUGCCUGUACGUGUGCAUGUCCGUGUGUGGCUUCUUUCUGUUGCUGUUUCCAUUUUUUAUUCGCUUUUCUUUUUCUUCUUUUCCUGCGCGAGUCUACUCAUUCCUCCCUGGGGAUGCGGAGCCACCGCACCGUGGUAUCACAGGGACCAGUACCCCACACUCCGUGGAGGACGCCAAGAGCCUGCAGCCUACCCUCGGGCACGGUUGCAGACACUUGGCCUCCGCGGACAGGCAUCGGCUGGUGCUGUGCCAAAGAGACUUGCUGCUGUGAUGUUUGCACCAGCUCACUGCGAAGCAUGUCAAGGAUUCAGUAAGUGUUGAGGAAGAGAUCCAGACCGAUCAGCACAACGGUGUACGUGCGCGAAAUGUGCGGCACCUACCACAUACCGAUCGGGGGGUCGAUGCGGCACGGAUGCCAAAAGCUUGAAAGGGGCACCCUCGAAUGGCACCAUCGAGCCCACCAGACUUUCAUGUGGAGAGUCUCCACGCCUUGUUAUGGAAUGUCCCGGCUUGAAACGACCCAAGGACCAGCAUGGCAUAGAGGCAGAGUGUGCAAGGUCUCAGAGUCCUGGCCUGAAGCUGGGCAACUACCUCCUCCAGCUCAUCGGGCGCAUGCGUAGCCCACACCCUACUGCCUGCACGGCAGACGCCACCGCUUCCACCCCCUCGAGCAGGCACCUAGGCGCGGCCCGCUUUUGAUCAAGCCUUGCAGCUCACCGAGGUCUGCCUCGUGCCGACCGCACAGCACUUACGCGAAGAAGGGACGAGAAAGGACAAGAGGAGCCCGCUAGAUGCAUGGCGGGAUUCAGCGACAGGACGGUUGGUCCUAGACGAGCAGCAUUUAGCCAUAGCGCAAGAGAGGAAGAUGAGGGGUGGCUGUGCAUGCGUGUAUACGUGCUGACGUGUUCGGUGUAGAAAGGGCACGUUAAAACCAAAACAAAUGAGCAACAACGCUUUCGCAGUGUCGCCUUAUCCCUCGCGCCUGGGCUGAGAGAGCAAGCGACGUAUCACGGCAUCGUUUUGCGUUGCGUGCGGACGCUGCCGAGAAG
RNAcentral lists this unclassified non-coding RNA (3039 nucleotides) under Leishmania donovani. RNAcentral describes it as "gene:LdHU3.36.4880(CDS-product:class-E_vacuolar_p rotein-sorting_protein_24_(Vps24p)_putative)". The record is from RNAcentral. Lineage: Eukaryota; Euglenozoa; Kinetoplastea; Trypanosomatida; Trypanosomatidae.